RNAcentral lists this ribosomal RNA (253 nucleotides) under uncultured bacterium. Its description in RNAcentral is "partial 16S ribosomal RNA". It matches the Rfam family "Bacterial small subunit ribosomal RNA", at positions 524 to 776 of the family's 1533-position model. The record is from RNAcentral.
GACGAACCGUGCAAACGUUGUUCGGAAUCACUGGGCUUAAAGGGCGCGUAGGCGGACCAUCAAGUCCGGGGUGAAAUCCUUCGGCUCAACCGGAGAACAGCCUCGGAUACUGGUGGUCUCGAGUGAGGUAGGGGCAUGCGGAACUGAUGGUGGAGCGGUGAAAUGUGUUGAUAUCAUCAGGAACUCCGGUGGCGAAAGCGGCGUGCUGGACCUCUACUGACGCUGAGGCGCGAAAGCCAGGGGAGCGAACGGG